UUCUGUAGGUACGUCAUUUUCGUCCCUACUGAAAGGGGUUUACAACCCGAAGGCCUUCAUCCCCCACGCGGCGUCGCUGCAUCAGGCUUUCGCCCAUUGUGCAAGAUUCCCUACUGCUGCCUCCCGUAGGAGUCUGGGCCGUGUCUCAGUCCCAGUGUGGCUGAUCGUCCUCUCUGACCAGCUACCCGUCGAUGCCUUGGUGAGCCAUUACCUCACCAACUAGCUGAUAGGCCGCGAGACCCUCCCGGAGCGACGGAUCAUUUCCUUACCCGAUCAUGCGACCAAGUAAGGACAUCCGGUAUUAGCCAUCGUUUCCAAUGGUUGUCCCGGUCUCCGAGGCAGGUUUCUCACGUGUUACUCACCCGUUCGCCACUCGUACAUUGCACCGAAGUGCGUACUCGUUCGACUUGCAUGUAUUAGGCGCGCCGCCAGCGUUCGUCCUGAGCCAGGAUCAAACUCU
This 460-nucleotide ribosomal RNA is filed under the name uncultured Actinomycetes bacterium. RNAcentral's name for it is "uncultured actinobacterium partial 16S ribosomal RNA". The record is from RNAcentral. Lineage: Bacteria; Bacillati; Actinomycetota; Actinomycetes.